AUUGAACGCUGGCGGUAUGCUUAAGACAUGCAAGUCGAACGGUAACAGGUUAAGCUGACGAGUGGCGGACGAGUGAGUAACGCGUGGGAAUCUACCCAGAUCUUCGGAACAACUGAGGGAAACUUCAGCUAAUACCGGAUACGCCCUACGGGGGAAAGAUUUAUCGGUUCUGGAUGAGCCCGCGUUGGAUUAGCUAGUUGGUGAGGUAAUGGCUCACCAAGGCGACGAUCCAUAGCUGGUCUGAGAGGAUGAUCAGCCACACUGGGACUGAGACACGGCCCAGACUCCUACGGGAGGCAGCAGUGGGGAAUCUUGCGCAAUGGGCGAAAGCCUGACGCAGCCAUGCCGCGUGAAUGAUGAAGGUCUUAGGAUUGUAAAAUUCUUUCACCGGGGAAGAUAAUGACGGUACCCGGAGAAGAAGCCCCGGCUAACUUCGUGCCAGCAGCCGCGGUAAGGUGACGCUCU
This 465-nucleotide ribosomal RNA is filed under the name uncultured bacterium. RNAcentral describes it as "bacterial SSU rRNA". It matches the Rfam family "Bacterial small subunit ribosomal RNA", at positions 30 to 534 of the family's 1533-position model. The record is from RNAcentral.